AUCCAACCAACGAGUCCCAAAUAAAGCGAAACGCAUGUCCUGGAU
Molecule: non-coding RNA, 45 nt
Filed under: Schistosoma margrebowiei
Lineage: Eukaryota; Metazoa; Platyhelminthes; Trematoda; Strigeidida; Schistosomatidae
Source: RNAcentral